RNAcentral lists this ribosomal RNA (273 nucleotides) under uncultured bacterium. RNAcentral describes it as "partial 16S ribosomal RNA". It matches the Rfam family "Bacterial small subunit ribosomal RNA", at positions 524 to 796 of the family's 1533-position model. The record is from RNAcentral.
UACGAAGGGUGCAAGCGUUAAUCGGAAUUACUGGGCGUAAAGCGCGCGUAGGUGGUUCGUUAAGUUGGAUGUGAAAGCCCCGGGCUCAACCUGGGAACUGCUUUCAUAACUGCUUGGCUAGAGUACGGUAGAGGGUAGUGGAAUUUCCUGUGUAGCGGUGAAAUGCGUAGAUAUAGGAAGGAACACCAGUGGCGAAGGCGACUACCUGGACUGAUACUGACACUGAGGUGCGAAAGCGUGGGGAGCAAACAGGAUUAGAUACCCCUGUAGUCC